Molecule: ribosomal RNA, 497 nt
Filed under: uncultured bacterium
Lineage: Bacteria
Description: partial 16S ribosomal RNA
Rfam family: Bacterial small subunit ribosomal RNA
Source: RNAcentral
GAUGAACGCUGGCGGCGUGCCUAAUACAUGCAAGUCGAGCGGACGGACGCGGAGCUUGCUUUUCUGAUGUUAGCGGCGGACGGGUGAGUAACACGUGGAUACCCUACCUAUAAGACUGGGAUAACUUCGGGAAACCGGCGCUAAUACCGGAUAAUCUUUUGCACCGCAUUGUUCAAAAGUGAAAUACGGUCGUGCUGUCACUUAUAGAUGGAUCCGGGCUGCAUUAGAUAGUUGUUAAGUUAACGGCUUACCAAGGCUACGAUGCAUAGACGAGCUGAGAGAGUGGUCGGCCACACUGGAACUGAGACACGGUCCAGACUCCUACGGGAGGCAGCAGUAGGGAAUGUGACGCAAUGGGCGAAAGCCUGACGGAGCGACGCCGCGUGAGUGAUGAAGGUCUUGGGUUCGUAAAACUCUGUUAUGAGGGAAGAACAGAUGUGUAAGUAACUGUACACAUCUUGACGGUACCUAAUCAGAAAGCCACGGCUAACUACGUG